RNAcentral lists this transfer RNA (89 nucleotides) under Bacteroidota bacterium. Its description in RNAcentral is "Bacteroidetes bacterium (hydrothermal vent metagenome) tRNA-Ser". It matches the Rfam family "tRNA". Rfam says of the family: Transfer RNA (tRNA) molecules are approximately 80 nucleotides in length. Their secondary structure includes four short double-helical elements and three loops (D, anti-codon, and T loops). Further hydrogen bonds mediate the characteristic L-shaped molecular structure. tRNAs have two regions of fundamental functional importance: the anti-codon, which is responsible for specific mRNA codon recognition, and the 3' end, to which the tRNAs corresponding amino acid is attached (by aminoacyl-tRNA synthetases). tRNAs cope with the degeneracy of the genetic code in two manners: having more than one tRNA (with a specific anti-codon) for a particular amino acid; and 'wobble' base-pairing, i.e. permitting non-standard base-pairing at the 3rd anti-codon position. RNAcentral also lists the same sequence under 1 other name. Lineage: Bacteria; Pseudomonadati; Bacteroidota. The record is from RNAcentral.
GGAGAGGUGCCGGAGUGGCUGAACGGGGCGGUCUCGAAAACCGCUGUCCUGAGUAAUUGGGACCCAGGGUUCAAAUCCCUGUCUCUCCG